GAGAUUGGGUCUUUCUGUGUAGCCCAAGUUGGCCUUGGAUUCUGGCCCCUCCGAUGUCAGCCACUGGAGUACUGGAUGACAGAGUACACAGACCACAUAGUGAGUUCAAUGGCAGCCUGGGCUCCAGAGUCCAGGUUUCAAACCCCACCACCCAAAAAGGGUAGGGGAGAGAGACGACUCAGUGGCCAAACGCUUUCUAUGAAGGCCCGAGGACGUGAGUUUGGAACCCAGCACAUACCAACAAAACAGAACUAACAAGAACAGGCUUGCUACAGUGUGUCUGAAACCCAGCACUUGGGAGAGGGUGGCAAAGACAAACAGCUCCCUGGACCUCACUGAACAGUCAGUCAACCUGAAGCAAUGAGCUACAGAUUCACAGAGCAAGUGGAGAGAAGCCAGCCAGAUGGCUCAGCACUUGCCAAACACAAGGGCCAUGUAACCUGAUUGCUUCCAUGUGGUGGAAGAUCUCUCUUUCCAUCUCUGUGUCUCUCUCUCCAGCGUACCUCCCAAGCAAACAAGGGGCCAGCUGGGCCACUGGAAAAACCAGACUUGCAGAGAAACCAGACUUGGGGCCUGGCAUGCAGCCAGGGCCCCAAGAGGAGGCAGGUCACAUGGAGAGUUGCAGUAGGACCCUAGGGUGCCCUUUUCCAAAGACCUUGGAAGAGAAGCAGGCAAAUGAAAAUCCCCCUUCUUGGGAUUCCAGGAUGAGACCCUACAGGGAUAGGACCCGGGAGCCAAGCCUGCAUUCCCAG
Molecule: long non-coding RNA, 752 nt
Organism: Mus musculus (house mouse)
Lineage: Eukaryota; Metazoa; Chordata; Mammalia; Rodentia; Muridae
Product: predicted gene, 51809
Exons: 3
Source: RefSeq, a predicted model, not a curated record